Paramacrobiotus metropolitanus is the source of this 2937-nucleotide RNA transcript. RefSeq lists it as uncharacterized. Lineage: Eukaryota; Metazoa; Tardigrada; Eutardigrada; Parachela; Macrobiotidae. The record is from RefSeq and is a predicted model, not a curated record. The transcript has 8 exons.
CGGUUCCACCGUUCUACACACUUUCGUGUUUCAUAUUGCGUUCGUUAGAACGGACUACGGAACUUCAAUCUGCCAUUAACGGGAAAGCUCCAGGUUUAUUCCACUCUGCCAUCUCAGUAUUGUUUCUUUAACUGAAUGUAAGCGAAUUUCUUGUAAUUAAUCGCAAAAUGGCACUGCCUUCUGUCCGUAUUACUAAUGUUCUUGUGAAACAACUAUCCAGCCGUGCCUCGAAGAUCGCACAUGAUAUUUAUGAAGUUCUCCCUCGGGACGUGGGAGCAUAUCGAGGAUGGACGGCAGAGCGUUGGAGCCCGGCACGUUUCUUCCAUACAACUUUUGUCUCCGCAGUUCGUCCAAAAAUGUAUUCCAGUAAUUUGGAGAAAGAGCUGGUGGAUUUGAGAAGAGAAACUCGUGCAAAGGAUACUGACAACGACAGGCUGAUUAGUGCACUGGACAAGGAGAUCAAGGCGAUGACUAGAAUCCAUCGGUUUCAGUUAGGAGAGAAGAACACUCAGAUUCUUUUUUUGUCGCGCGCUCUUCAUAUUCGAGGUGUUAUCGAUCACUUGGAAGACGACUGGGUUCAGGAGUAUGAAAUGACAAAGAAAUUACCCAAAGGCCUGCACCCCAAACUGAUGUGGAGAAAACAUCUUGAGCGGGAAAACGCUUACAGGAAACCUUCCCCCUUCGAUAAACACGCUGAACUGUGGAAACUCUUGAAAGAACACGAUUAUUUCAAAGAACAGUUGUUAGAAGUUGCUAAUGACGAGGGGAAGAAACUGAUUUCUGUGGACAUAUUUAACCGUCUGGAAAAUUUAGUGGAGAAUAUCUAUCGGAAAGCUGCCGACCAGGCUCAUAAUGUAUGUUCGACUGGAGAUAGAGUAUGUAUCGAUUCCGACUUGUUGUCUCCGGAUGAAAUUGUUGUGGUGCAAGCCCUUUGUCGGCUCUUUGAAGUCGAGUUCGAGAUCUAUAAAGGAUCGCUGAGACCAGUAUAUUCGCAUGAAAUCAAUUUCAGCAUAUGAACAAAAACAGCGACGAGAAUGAUGCUGACGAUUUAAGCACCGCUUCUCUUUCGACGUCAGCGCUUAAAGAUAUAUCGAAGACAAACACGGGCAAAGAAGAAACGCAAGAUUUGGGCAUGUUCUAAUUGGAAACCGGAUGUACUAUCAUAAUCGUCCUCAAAUGCGGAUAAUGGCCGUAAUGGUUCGCUUGUACAAUGUACAGUACUCGUCGCACAAUGUCCACGACGCGAAGGCGCUGAUCAAAGAGAGUUAAGACACUGCCGAACCACAGCACAUUAUACACUACGUGUAGUGUAAUGUAAUGCCUUGGCCGGACACUGAAAGGGAGUAUGAUUACUGGGAGACCUUCAGUGCUGUGGACAUUGCAACGGCUGACAGAAGGAAGUUUGAAUCGGUACAAGGGAUCGCUUCGCCACAAAACCGCGGUCGGAAUCUUAUCGGCGCGAACAGUUUAAGUCUCGUUCCGGUCUGCCAAUGCUCGCCAACGUGCACGCCGAAGAUAUGGUUCGACCAGACUUCCAGUUGAUCUGAACGAGAAGAUGUGUUUAUUGUUUAACGGAAGAGCAUAUGGCCACUUUCUACAAGCUUGCAGGUCAGUUGUAAGCCGCUUUAUCAUUUUGCAUUUUGCAACUACUAGAAGAAUGCACGUUGGCGAGCAUUGGCAGACCGGAGCGAUGCUUAAACUAUUUUACGCUGCGGCUGGCCUAUGCAAGUCCCAACAAGAUGUACCACAUAAUGAAGGUACAGUAAAAGAACAUCUUGUAAAUAACUGCUCCAAAGUUAUUGUGCUACAGGGUUACUCAAUUUAUACGUAACAUACCGUAACUCAACAUACAGCCUGGCCACGCCAAGUUCGGACAGUUAUGCCAAAUAAAUUAGGAAGUAUUUCCGUGAGUCGUUUUGCUUUUAGUUUUGCAGUUUUCUAGUGUAACUUUUUCUUGCGGAUCUGGUACCCUUAAAAAAUUUAAAUUUUAAUUGGUCGGUAGCGAGCUGAGCUACGAUUUAAGGGAUAGGGUAGUGGUCAUUUCUGGAAGGCUUAUACCUAGCUCCUUGAGAAAUCUACCAUCUGAUAUUUUUUUGUGAACUUUUAUGAAAAGUAUUGCGGGACCUGAAGGAAUCCCUUUCGGGGUGGCAUUGAGGUCUUUGGCGAUUGGGGCUCGCGGUGACCUCGAAAGAUAACUUUUCACCCGUAGACUUGUAUGCUAAACGACACCUGCCGAAUAUUACGGUUGCUUAGCUGCCCAGACCUACCAACAUUGAAAUGAUAAUUUCUAUGAGUGGCACACGGACCACACCAAACGAUUUUAAUGUUACGACAGAUGUCCACUGCAAAGUCGGGAAGAUAUUAGUGCCAAACAAAUGGCAGAAAAACCCGACAAAGCUGGAACAAAAAAAAGUUAUGGCUGUAGUUUGAAUUUCUCGUGACAGAACGUAGCGAGCUUUUUCUGAGAACGAAGAUGCUUAAACUGACGCACAGUGCCUCUUGUCCGAGAUCCAACUAAAAAUAACUACUUCUGACACCUGGUGGCUGUGCGGCGAGUCGGCAAAGGAAGCAAUCCUAUGAUUCAUUAGCGCUCGCAGUCGCACUACAAAGGUCACGUAGGCUUGCUCAAAUCGGUAAGUUUCUUAGAUAAUCCUAAAGGGCAUUGAAUGGUCAACAUCAUGAAACAAUCGUUUUUCGAUUACAUCAUCAACAGCAAUUUUAAUAAAAUUUUAAAUGAGCCAAAGGAUAUCGCGGUAGAUGGGUCCAUCCGCUUUUUUAGACCGGCUUGGUUCGGAUUUAAUCUCACCGUAAAUCAGAACAAGCUCUUAUUCUGAAAAGUUCAACUGCAAAAGAUGUGUGACACAUGAGGGAAUCAGGAAAAAAAAUUAAAUAAGUUCAUAUUGUUUGGCGGAUGACUUGUAACAAUUUUUUUAAAAA